Small nuclear RNA from Panthera tigris altaica (Amur tiger), 106 nucleotides. The record is from Ensembl. NCBI's taxonomy places the organism in Eukaryota, Metazoa, Chordata, Mammalia, Carnivora, Felidae.
GUGCUUGCUUAGGCAGCACAUAUACUAAAAUUGGAACGACGUGGAGAACAGCAGGGCCCCAGCUCAAGGAUGACAUACACAUUCGUAAAAGGAUUGUCAGGUAUUU